Molecule: long non-coding RNA, 549 nt
Organism: Erigeron canadensis
Lineage: Eukaryota; Viridiplantae; Streptophyta; Magnoliopsida; Asterales; Asteraceae
Exons: 2
Source: RefSeq, a predicted model, not a curated record
UCAGGUUCUUUUGGUGCUUGUAACCUUUUAAUCCUCAUGGGUCUGCGACAUUAACCUUAGAAAGAAAGGUAUAGUCAGUUCUGUCUUCGAUCUGUGAGUGAUGAUGAGAGGAAAACUCGUGAGUCAAUAAAAAGCAGGGAAACAACGACCGACCAAUGAGAAAGCUGAGGCCGAUGCUGCGUAGAGCGAAUUUGGCCGACCCUUUGAGUGGUGAUGAGAAGAAAACUGAUCAUGAUCAGACGAUAAAAAACAGGGAAGAAACAACAAAAGGAAAUAAUCAUGACGUGAAAAGCAUGCGAAAACUACGGUUUGGGUUUCCAGGAUGAUCUGCCUUACAAAAAGGCCCCAAGUUUCUCGGAUUUGAUGACACGCACACAAUCAGCUGCUUUUUAGAUUAUAUAAAAUAGGGAUUAAAUAAAGCAUGGAAGGGUAUUAUACUUUAUUUAGUUAUGAGUUGUAUGCAACUCUAAAAACCUCUAUUAUGUGUAUUAUACCUUAUUUAUAUAUGAUUAAGGAAUCAAACUUGCAACUCUAUUUUGUGUAUUAAAA